GACGAACGCUGGCGGCGUGCUUAACACAUGCAAGUCGAACGGUGAAGCGCUUUCCUUUUUGGUUGGUGUGGAUGAGUGGCGAACGGGUGAGUAACACGUGAGUAACCUGCCCCCUUCUUCUGGAUAACCGCAUGAAAGUGUGGCUAAUACGGGAUAUUCUGCGCCUGCUGCAUGGUGGGUGUGGGAAAGAUUGUGCCUUUGGGUGUUUUCGGUGGGGGAUGGGCUCGCGGCCUAUCAGCUUGUUGGUGGGGUGAUGGCCUACCAAGGCGGUGACGGGUAGCCGGCCUGCGAGGGUGGACGGUCACACUGGGACUGAGACACGGCCCAGACUCCUACGGGAGGCAGCAGUGGGGAAUAUUGCACAAUGGGCGCAAGCCUGAUGCAGCGACGCCGCGUGAGGGAUGGAGGCCUUCGGGUUGUGAACCUCUUUCGCCAGUGAAGCAGGCCUGCUCCGUGUGGGUGGGUUGACGGUAGCUGGAUAAGAAGCGCCGGCUAACUACGUG
RNAcentral lists this ribosomal RNA (503 nucleotides) under uncultured bacterium. Its description in RNAcentral is "partial 16S ribosomal RNA". It matches the Rfam family "Bacterial small subunit ribosomal RNA", at positions 28 to 507 of the family's 1533-position model. The record is from RNAcentral.